Molecule: non-coding RNA, 203 nt
Organism: Pelobates cultripes (western spadefoot toad)
Lineage: Eukaryota; Metazoa; Chordata; Amphibia; Anura; Pelobatidae
Source: the annotation of a GenBank genome assembly
AUUUCCUUCACUUCUCUGGUCUUAUGUGUCACUGCUUUUUGAUCUAGAUAUUCAGCAACCCCAAAUUUCUCAGCAAUGGCUCUUCUUGUAGAUAAUGCGAUUUUAGCUAAUAAUUUGUUCUGUGUUCUGAUAAGUUAUUCCAGUGGUUUUGUUAGCAACCAAACCCAGAAGUCUACUGGCAUUGUAUGUAAGUGAAGCUAAAC